AGAGUUUGAUCCUGGCUCAGGAUGAACGCUGGCGGCGUGCUUAACACAUGCAAGUCGAGCGGGAAAUUUCUGACUGAUUCCUUCGGGAUGAAAUCGGAAAUGGAGAGCGGCGGAUGGGUGAGUAACGCGUGGGAAACCUGCCCUGUACAGGGGGAUAGCCUCGGGAAACCGGGAUUAAUACCCCAUAAUGUUUCUUCAUCGCAUGAUUUAGAAAUCAAAACUCCGGUGGCACAGGAUGGUCCCGCGUCCCAUUAGCUAGUUGGUGAGGUAACAGCUCACCAAGGCGACGAUGGGUAGCCGGCCUGAGAGGGUGAACGGCCACACUGGAACUGAGACACGGUCCAGACUCCUACGGGAGGCAGCAGUGGGGGAUAUUGCACAAUGGAGGAAACUCUGAUGCAGCGACGCCGCGUGAGCGAAGAAGGUCUUCGGAUCGUAAAGCUCUGUCCUAAGGAAAGAUAGUGACGGUACCUUAGGAGGAAGCCCCGGCUAACUACGUGCCAGCAGCCGCGGUAAUACGUAGGGGGCGAGCGUUAUCCGGAAUUAUUGGGCGUAAAGGGUUCGCAGGCGGCCUUGUAAGUCAGAUGUGAAAGACAGCGGCUUAACCGUUGUAAGCAUUUGAAACUGCAGGGCUUGAGUACAGGAGAGGAAAGCGGAAUUCCUAGUGUAGCGGUGAAAUGCGUAGAUAUUAGGAAUCCCGCGGCCAUGGCGGCCGGGAGCAUGCGACGUCGGGCCCAAUUCGCCCUAUAGUGAGUCGUAUUACAAUUCACUGGCCGUCGUUUUACAACGUCGUGACUGGGAAAACCCUGCGUUACCCAACUUAAUCGCCUUGCAGCACAUCCCCCUUUCGCCAGCUGGCGUAAUAGCGAAGAGGCCCGCACCGAUCGCCCCUUCCCAA
Molecule: ribosomal RNA, 898 nt
Filed under: uncultured bacterium
Lineage: Bacteria
Description: bacterial SSU rRNA
Rfam family: Bacterial small subunit ribosomal RNA (bases 2-744)
Source: RNAcentral